AUACGGAGGGUGCAAGCGUUAUUCGGAAUCACUGGGCGUAAAGGGUGCGUAGGCGGUUUGAUAAGUCUGAUGUGAAAUCCUAUGGCUCAACCAUAGAACUGCAUUGGAAACUGUCAGACUAGAAUACUGAAGGGGCAGAUGGAAUUAGUGGUGUAGGGGUAAAAUCCGUAGAUAUCACUAGGAAUACCGAAAGCGAAAGCGAUCUGCUGGGAAGUUACUGACGCUGAGGCACGAAAGCGUGGGGAGCAAACGGGAUUAGAAACCCUAGUAGUCC
Molecule: ribosomal RNA, 274 nt
Filed under: uncultured bacterium
Lineage: Bacteria
Description: partial 16S ribosomal RNA
Rfam family: Bacterial small subunit ribosomal RNA
Source: RNAcentral